AUUGAACGCUGGCGGCAGGCCUAACACAUGCAAGUAGAACGAGUGGCGGACGGGUGAGUAAUGUCUGGGAAACUGACUGAUGGAGGGGGAUAACUACUGGAAACGGUAGCUAAUACCGCAUACCAUCAGAUGUGCCCAGAUGGGAUUAGCUUGUUGGUGGGGUAACGGCUCACCAAGGCGACGAUCCCUAGAUGGUAUGAGAGGAUGACCCGCCACACGGGAACUGGUCAACGGUCCAGACUCCGACGGGAGGCAGCAUGGGGGAAUAUUGCACAAUGGUCGCAAGCCUGAUGCAGCCAUGCCGCGUGUAUGAAGAAGGCCUUCGGGGUGUAAAGUACUUUCAGCGGGGAGGCGUUACCCGCAGAAGAAGCACCGGCUAACUCCGUGCCAGCAGCCGCGGUAAUAC
This 406-nucleotide ribosomal RNA is filed under the name uncultured bacterium. RNAcentral describes it as "partial 16S ribosomal RNA". It matches the Rfam family "Bacterial small subunit ribosomal RNA", at positions 30 to 526 of the family's 1533-position model. The record is from RNAcentral.